This is a ribosomal RNA of 2889 nucleotides. It matches the Rfam family "Bacterial large subunit ribosomal RNA".
UUAAGUGACUAAGCGUACACGGUGGAUGCCUUGGCAAUCAGAGGCGAUGAAGGACGUGCUAACCUGCGAAAAGGGUUGGUGAGCUGGUAAGAAGCGUUAUAGCCAACCAUGUCCGAAUGGGGAAACCCACUCACUUUUAGUGAGUAUCUCAUGCUGAAUACAUAGGCAUGUAGAGGCGAACCCGGGGAACUGAAACAUCUAAGUACCCGGAGGAAAAGAAAUCAACCGAGAUUCCCUAAGUAGCGGCGAGCGAACGGGGAUUAGCCCUUAAGUUUGAUAUGAGCAAGUGGAACGGUCUGGAAAGUCCGGCGAUAGAGGGUGAUAGCCCCGUACACGUAAGCGAAUAUUGAAUGAAAUCGAGUAGGUCGGGACACGUGGUAUCUUGACUGAACAUGGGGGACCAUCCUCCAAGGCUAAAUACUCCUGAUUGACCGAUAGUGAACCAGUACCGUGAGGGAAAGGCGAAAAGAACCCCUGUGAGGGGAGUGAAAUAGAACCUGAAACCGUGUACGUACAAGCAGUGGGAGCAUCCUUCGGGGUGUGACUGCGUACCUUUUGUAUAAUGGGUCAGCGAGUUACUUUCAGUGGCGAGGUUAACCGAAUAGGGGAGCCGUAGGGAAACCGAGUCUUAACUGGGCGAAUAGUCGCUGGGAGUAGACCCGAAACCCGGUGAUCUAGCCAUGGGCAGGUUGAAGGUUGAGUAACAUCAACUGGAGGACCGAACCCACUAACGUUGCAAAGUUAGGGGAUGACCUGUGGCUGGGGGUGAAAGGCCAAUCAAACCGGGAGAUAGCUGGUUCUCCCCGAAAGCUAUUUAGGUAGCGCCUCGGACGAAUACUAUUGGGGGUAGAGCACUGUUUCGGCUAGGGGGUCAUCCCGACUUACCAACCCGAUGCAAACUCCGAAUACCAAUAAGUACUAUCCGGGAGACACACAGCGGGUGCUAACGUUCGUUGUGGAGAGGGAAACAACCCAGACCGCCAGCUAAGGUCCCAAAGUUAUCACUAAGUGGGAAACGAUGUGGGAAGGCCCAGACAGCCAGGAUGUUGGCUUAGAAGCAGCCAUCAUUUAAAGAAAGCGUAAUAGCUCACUGGUCGAGUCGGCCUGCGCGGAAGAUGUAACGGGGCUAAGUGAUACACCGAAGCUGCGGCAGCAUACUAGUUAUGCUGGGUAGGGGAGCGUUCUGUAAGCCUGUGAAGGUGGAUUGAGAAGUCUGCUGGAGGUAUCAGAAGUGCGAAUGCUGACAUGAGUAACGAUAAUGGGGGUGAAAAACCUCCACGCCGAAAGACCAAGGGUUCCUGUCCAACGUUAAUCGGGCAGGGUGAGUCGACCCCUAAGGCGAGGCCGAAAGGCGUAGUCGAUGGGAAACAGGUUAAUAUUCCUGUACUCGCUGUAAUUGCGAUGGAGGGACGGAGAAGGUUAGGUGGGCCAGGCGUUGGUUGUCCUGGUGAAAGUGCGUAGGCUGAGUGUUUAGGUAAAUCCGGACGCUCAUUAGGCUGAGACACGAGACGAACAUCCUACGGGAUGGAAGCCAUUGAUACCCUGCUUCCGGGAAAAGCUUCUAAGCUUCAGAUUACAGAGAAUCGUACCCCAAACCGACACAGGUGGUCGGGUAGAGAAUACCAAGGCGCUUGAGAGAACUCGGGUGAAGGAACUAGGCAAAAUAGUACCGUAACUUCGGGAGAAGGUACGCCGCUGACGGUGAAGUCCCUUGCGGAUGGAGCUGUCGGUGGUCGCAGUGACCAGGUGGCUGGGACUGUUUAUCAAAAACACAGCACUGUGCAAACUCGAAAGAGGACGUAUACGGUGUGACACCUGCCCGGUGCCGGAAGGUUAAUUGAUGUCGUUAUCCCUCGGGAGAAGCGGUUGAUCGAAGCCCCGGUAAACGGCGGCCGUAACUAUAACGGUCCUAAGGUAGCGAAAUUCCUUGUCGGGUAAGUUCCGACCUGCACGAAUGGUGUAACCAUGGCCACGCUGUCUCCACCCGAGACUCAGUGAAAUUGAAAUCGCUGUGAAGAUGCAGUGUACCCGCGGCUAGACGGAAAGACCCCGUGAACCUUUACUACAGCUUGGCACUGAACAUUGAGCCUGCAUGUGCAGGAUAGGUGGGAGGCUUCGAAGCGGUAACGCCAGUUAUCGUGGAGCCAUCCUUGAAAUACCACCCUUGCAUGUUUGAUGUUCUAACCUCGGUCCAUUAUCUGGAUUAGGGACAGUGUCUGGUGGGUAGUUUGACUGGGGCGGUCUCCUCCCAAAGAGUAACGGAGGAGCACGAAGGUGGGCUAAGUACGGUCGGACAUCGUACGGUUAGUGCAAUGGCAUAAGCCCGCUUAACUGCGAGACAGACACGUCGAGCAGGUACGAAAGUAGGUCAUAGUGAUCCGGUGGUUCUGAAUGGAAGGGCCAUCGCUCAACGGAUAAAAGGUACUCCGGGGAUAACAGGCUGAUACCGCCCAAGAGUUCAUAUCGACGGCGGUGUUUGGCACCUCGAUGUCGGCUCAUCACAUCCUGGGGCUGGAGCAGGUCCCAAGGGUAUGGCUGUUCGCCAUUUAAAGUGGUACGCGAGCUGGGUUCAGAACGUCGUGAGACAGUUCGGUCCCUAUCUGCCGUGGGCGUUGGAUGAUUGAGAGGAGUUGCUCCUAGUACGAGAGGACCGGAGUGAACACACCUCUGGUGUUCGGGUUGUCACGCCAGUGGCACUGCCCGGUAGCUACGUGUGGAACUGAUAACCGCUGAAAGCAUCUAAGCGGGAAGCAGGCCUCAAGAUGAGUCAUCCCUAAGACUUUAAGUCUUCUGAAGGGCCGUCCGAGACUAGGACGUUGAUAGGCAGGGUGUGUAAGCGUUGUGAGGCGUUGAGCUAACCUGUACUAAUGACCCGAGAGGCUUAACCAU